Molecule: ribosomal RNA, 497 nt
Filed under: uncultured bacterium
Lineage: Bacteria
Description: partial 16S ribosomal RNA
Rfam family: Bacterial small subunit ribosomal RNA
Source: RNAcentral
GAUGAACGCUGGCGGCGUGCCUAAUACAUGCAAGUCGAGCGAACAGACGAGGAGCUUGCUCCUCUGACGUUAGCGGCGGACGGGUGAGUAACACGUGGAUAACCUACCUAUAAGACUGGGAUAACUUCGGGAAACCGGAGCUAAUACCGGAUAAUAUAUUGAGCCGCAUGGUUCAAUAGUGAAAGACGGUUUUGCUGUCACUUAUAGAUGGAUCCGCGCCGCAUUAGCUAGUUGGUAAGGUAACGGCUUACCAAGGCAACGAUGCGUAGCCGACCUGAGAGGGUGACCGGCCACACUGGAACUGAGACACGGUCCAGACUCCUACGGGAGGCAGCAGUAGGGAAUCUUCCGCAAUGGGCGAAAGCUUGACGGAGCAACGCCGCGUGAGUGAUGAAGGUCUUCGGAUCGUAAAACUCUGUUAUUAGGGAAGAACAAAUGUGUAAGUAACUAUGCACGUCUUGACGGUACCUAAUCAGAAAGCCACGGCUAACUACGUG